GAUUUUUUUUUUUUUUUUUACAGACAGAUCUCAGAUUUGACCUGUAGGAGGCGCACUUUUCCAAAAAUAAAAUAAGUGCGGUCGAACUGCCAUCCAUUCUCCAUCAAGAUUACGCGUUUUCCAGGACAGUAUCCAGAUGAAAUGGUAAUCUUAAUAUGUAUUGCCACUAGGAUGACCACCUCCAGUAACCUGUCUAAUUUUCAUUAGUGUUUUUUUUUUUCUUUUCUUUUUUUUUUUCUUUUAAAUAAUCUAAUGUUUUAGACAAUAAUGCGCCAUCCCUGCACUGUCCCCAUUUCUAUGUAAGUGCCUGUACGGGAGAAUCAAUAGGAGUUCAUAGCAUCUGAAUAAAACAUUCCUCUUUGUCUCAGAGUUUUAAUCAUAUAUUUCUCUGGGUCUCAUAGCUUCAGACACUUGAUUGAGACAGCUAAAUCAAUUGUAGGGAAUUAGCAUAGAGAGUCGGUCUGAAUGUACAGUGAGGGACGGUUCUGAAAUGAUACAUUCCUUGCUUCUACCAUCAGCCUGAACUGACAGAGCACAAAUUCCAAGUACUUUGGGAAGCUUUUUACUAUCACUUCGCUCAUUCAAUUAAUACUCAUUAUUACUCCACCAUAGGAAGCAAAGGAGACACUUGUGUGUGUGUGUUUACACUGUGGGAAGCCCAGUAUCUGACUUGUAUCUUAGUGCAGACUUCAAGAAAUAACAUUUCUGGAGGAUGUUCUGUACACCAUCAGCACUGCAGAUUGAAAAGGAAAGUUUUUCAGGAUCUGAGAACUGGCUCAAGAGGCAGAUCCAAUCAGUUUCCCUUGCCCAGAUUUCCUCUGGUGCUUGAUCUGGGAUUGAUCUCUGCCACCCUCAAGAAUUCUGUUUCAGUCAAGACCUGGGAGGAUUACAUGAAUUCCUGGUUCGUCGAAGAGUAAAAUUUGGAUAGUUGGUCAUUCAUUUAUUUAUUGGGCCAAGAAUCGAGUCAAGGACUUAUUCUGCCAAUUAAGGUUUGAACUCUAAUAUAUUGCAAGUUCUCCACCUGAAGUUUUAAUUAUUCACACCGGGGCUAAUGAUGUUGGAAAAAUAAGGAUAUGGGAGCUUCUCUGUGAGAUGAAAAAAAUGUAUGUUCUUUUAAACUAUUAUUCCCUCAUGCUGUCUUGGCCUAUCCAGAGAUGAUUCCUAGGCGUAUGUGGUCUCCACAGGGUAAUUUUCACUACAUUGAUAAGAUUCAGAGAUGCCUGAAUAGGACAGUCCAUACCUAUUUAGUUUCCUCUGGUGGACUGUCAUACCGUCAUGUUGAACUUGCCUGGUCUAUUUAGGCAUAACCUGGUGCAUCUGUUUGGACUCAACAUAUUCAACAUGGGUCUGCAAAACUUGAUUGGUUUAGCCACGGUGUUGGGGGACCCUCGGCCAGCCAGUUUUUGGCUGGUCUCGGCUAGUGGGGAUUAGUCGUUAAGUUUAUCUGGACUGACAUUGUGACUAAUUUUGUUUAUGGUGGAUGGUUUAGCCAAAGAUAGCUAUAUAUUGAUUAAAUAAAUCUGUUUUUUGAUUUUAAUUAAGGUUGCCCAAUUUAAUAGCACUGUGGCCAAAAUAACUUCCAAUAAAGUAU
Long non-coding RNA from Rana temporaria (common frog), 1591 nucleotides. RefSeq lists it as uncharacterized. The record is from RefSeq and is a predicted model, not a curated record. Lineage: Eukaryota; Metazoa; Chordata; Amphibia; Anura; Ranidae. The transcript is spliced from 4 exons.